RNAcentral lists this unclassified non-coding RNA (240 nucleotides) under soil metagenome. RNAcentral describes it as "partial contains 5.8S ribosomal RNA, internal transcribed spacer 2, and large subunit ribosomal RNA". The record is from RNAcentral.
AACACUGUUAACCUGCGGUACCUGCGGAGGGAUCAUUACAGAGUGUUUAACCCCCUAUAAAAUGGUGGGUCUAACCUCCCGUCCUUUGCUGGGUCCCCCUUCUGGAGGACUUUCAAAACUUUCUGCUUCGGCGGGGUAUACCCGCCGGAACACCCUCAAAAAAUUCUUGAUCAAAAUGGUUCGGUCCGAGAAACUUUUUGUGCAAAUUAGCGAAAAACUUUCAACAAUGGAUCUCAGAUC